GCAGACACAUUCCAGCCAAUCAGCAGCAGACCCUCCCUCCUAGAUCCUCCCACCUCCUGGACAGCAUCCAUUUUACAUUCAUUGUGAAGCUGCAUUCUUAGUGAGCUGUCCAAGAGGUGGGAGGGUCUGGGAGGGAGGGUCUGCUGCUGAUUGGCUGGAAUGUGUCUG
This 168-nucleotide microRNA precursor is filed under the name Pelobates cultripes (western spadefoot toad). Lineage: Eukaryota; Metazoa; Chordata; Amphibia; Anura; Pelobatidae. The record is from RNAcentral.